CACCACUCGAGUCUGACUCGGUAUUGGGCGCCGCGUUUCGAUGCGCGCCUUAAAGUUUCCGGCUGGACCGUCCGUCUCCGAGCGUUGUGGCAUCUGUCUCGCUAGGGAGUCGCGGAGGGCGUGGGCCGUUAAACACCCCAUCAAA
RNAcentral lists this unclassified non-coding RNA (145 nucleotides) under Mycosphaerella musae. RNAcentral describes it as "sequence contains ITS2". Lineage: Eukaryota; Fungi; Ascomycota; Dothideomycetes; Mycosphaerellales; Mycosphaerellaceae. The record is from RNAcentral.